RNAcentral lists this ribosomal RNA (407 nucleotides) under uncultured bacterium. RNAcentral's name for it is "partial 16S ribosomal RNA". It matches the Rfam family "Bacterial small subunit ribosomal RNA", at positions 30 to 526 of the family's 1533-position model. The record is from RNAcentral.
AUUGAACGCUGGCGGCAGGCCUAACACAUGCAAGUCGAGCGGCUCGGCGGACGGGUGAGUAAUGCUUAUGAAUCUGCCUGUUAGUGGGGGAUAACGUUCGGUAACGGGCGCUAAUACUGCUUCCUAUUAGAUUAGCCUAGGUCGGAUUAGCUAGUUGGUGGGGUAAAGGCCUACCAAGGCGACGAUCCGUAACCGGUCUGAGAGGAUGAUCAGUCACACUGGAACUGAGACACGGUCCAGACUCCUACGGGAGGCAGCAGUGGGGAAUAUUGGACAAUGGGCGAAAGCCUGAUCCAGCCAUGCCGCGUGUGUGAAGAAGGUCUUCGGAUUGUAAAGCACUUUAAGUUGGGAGGCGUUACCAGCAGAAUAAGCACCGGCUAACUUCGUGCCAGCCGCCGCGGUAAUUC